UAAAGGAUCUAGUAGAAAUACUUCAGGACCCCUUGCCACCCCCGCUCUGUCUCCCAUCCACUCCAGGAACCCCAGGAGUCUCUAGCCCUUCACAGUUGGUUAGCCCUCAGUCCUGGUCCCCACAGAAGGAAGUGACCCAUGACAGCCUGGUAGUAGGGGCCAUUGAGAACGCUUUCCAGCUCAUGGUGAGUGGGUGGCUUGUGCCAAAAAUGUGCUAAGUAGGCACUCUGGGCACAUCUUCGAGGUGGAGGUGGGUGGGUGAACCCCAGAAUCCACACUGCCUUUGAGAACCUGAGCAGAACUUGGUCCUGUUACCCAAUGUGGCUCUCUUCCACUCUGGUCUGAAGAGGUGCGGAGUGGGGCAGGUGACCAUGACUUGCAGGUUUUUCUGUGUCCUUUGACCCUUCCUCACCUG
This 415-nucleotide long non-coding RNA is filed under the name Rattus norvegicus (Norway rat). RNAcentral's name for it is "long non-coding RNA NONRATT015665". Lineage: Eukaryota; Metazoa; Chordata; Mammalia; Rodentia; Muridae. The record is from RNAcentral.